GACCUCGGAUCAGGUAGGGAUACCCGCUGAACUUAAGCAUAUCUA
Molecule: ribosomal RNA, 45 nt
Filed under: Stemphylium vesicarium
Lineage: Eukaryota; Fungi; Ascomycota; Dothideomycetes; Pleosporales; Pleosporaceae
Description: partial 28S ribosomal RNA
Source: RNAcentral